UGAGGAAUCUUCCACAAUGGGGGCAACCCUGAUGGAGCAACGCCGCGUGAAGGAUGAAGGCCCUCGGGUUGUAAACUUCUUUUAUGAGCGAAGAAUAUGACGGUAACUCAUGAAUAAGGGUCGGCUAACUACGUGCCAGCAGCCGCGGUCAUACGUAGGACCCAAGCGUUAUCCGGAGUGACUGGGCGUAAAGAGUUGCGUAGGCGGCUCAGAAAGCGAAUAGUGAAAGAUGAUGGCUCAACCAUCAAAACAUUGUUCGAACUCCUGAGCUCGAGAAUGGUAGAGGUAGUUGGAAUUUCGUGUGUAGGAGUGAAAUCCGUAGAUAUACGAAGGAACACCAAUGGCGUAGGCAGACUACUGGACCAUUUCUGACGCUGAGGCACGAAAGCGUGGGGAGCGA
This 400-nucleotide ribosomal RNA is filed under the name uncultured bacterium. RNAcentral describes it as "bacterial SSU rRNA". It matches the Rfam family "Bacterial small subunit ribosomal RNA", at positions 355 to 771 of the family's 1533-position model. The record is from RNAcentral.